Mus musculus (house mouse) is the source of this 2590-nucleotide RNA transcript. It is a transcript of the gene named RIKEN cDNA D130052B06 gene, with no coding region annotated. Lineage: Eukaryota; Metazoa; Chordata; Mammalia; Rodentia; Muridae. The record is from RefSeq and is a predicted model, not a curated record. The transcript is spliced from 4 exons.
GGCUCAGAGUGACUCAACCUAGCCUCUGUGGAGGACCCUCCCCUUUUGGGCAUUGCUUUCACUCAGGGUGUGGCACCAUUGGUCCUGAGGGUCCUCAGAAGGGCUAUGGUUGCAGCAAGCAGAGAGCUCCAGAUGGGCUGUGCUGAAGCAGCUGUUGACAGGGUUCUGCUAGCCCCCAGGGCCUCUGGAACUCGAUCAUGACAGCAUCUGUCUGUGUCUGCUCCCACCAGAUGGAUGAGCUGGGAGGUAAGGCAUGUGGCUUCCUCCUGGCAAUGUCUGUCUGUGAAUGUGACCCUGCAGCUGUCUGCCCACCUCCCCCAUACUUCAUCUCUCUAGAAGGAGUUUCCAGCGGUAACCUGACCUCACGGGUGAGCCUACUCCUUGGGGUCAGGACUGUGACCUUCACGUUCCUGGUUGGGGCAUAACCGAGGAUGCUCGUGUUCUGCUAACGUUGGCAGCGGCUGCACUCAGUACAGAGCAUCUUAAGGAGCUCUGAGGUUACAGGCACAUGCUGCCACCCUGGCUUUGCUCAUGGAUUUUGCGCAUCCAAAGGCAGGUCCCCAUGCUUGCACAGUGAACACUUCACCCACUGGUGCCUUUAGCCAGCUCCACAGACCAGUGUUGUCUCCAGUCGCGGCUUCAAUACAAGGUGACCCAUCUACCCCGUCCUAUCCUGGCGACCCAUCUACACUGUCCUGUCCUGGUGACCCAUCUACACUGUCAUGUACUGGUGACCCAUCUACGCUGUCCUGUACUGGUGACCUGUCUACACCGUCCUGUACUGGUGACCUGCCUACACCAUCCUGUACUGCUGACCCGUCUACACCGUCCUGUACUGGUGACCCAUCUACACCGUCCUGUACUGGUGAUUUGUCUACACUGUCCUGCACAGGUGACCCAUCUACCCCGUCCUAUCCUGGCGACCCAUCUACACUGUCCUGUCCUGGUGACCCGUCUACACUGUCCUGUUCUGGUGACCCGUCUACACCGUCCUGUACUGGUGAUCUGCCUACACUGUCCUGCACAGGUGACCCAUCUACACUGUCCUGCACUGGUGACCCAUCUACACUGUCCUGUACUGGUGACCCGUCUACACUGUCCUGCACUGGUGACCCAUCUACACUGUCCUGUACUGGUGACCCAUCUACACUGUCCUGCACUGGUGACCCAUCUACACUGUCCUGCACAGGUGACCCGUCUACACUGUAUUGUGGCAGGCUCCAUCAUUAUGCUUAACUACAGUUUAUUUAUACCUUCUGGUUCUAGACAACUUCUCAUUUUCAUAUAACAAUGAAAAAUUCAUUAGAUCUAGAGCCUCCACACUCAAUAACAUUACCAACAUUGUUCAAGAGUCCAAAGUCUCUUUUGAGACUUAAGAUAAGCUCUUCUAUCAAUCAAAAGAUAACUUACAUACUUUUGGGGCUAGAAGGCUACAGAGUAAGGAUUCCCAUUUAACACCUCCAUCCUAAAAGGGAGGCAUGGGGGAAUAAAAGGAGAAUAGAGACAAAGCAAGAUCCAAACCCAGAAGGGCAGGUGGCUCAAGAUGGAAUCCAAUAGCUUUGGGUAGCCUUGCCCUGAAGUAAACAUGGCCCUGCUCCACACUAUGCCUGCAUCUGUCCUCAGUGGAUGUUGCACGGUCUGCCAUCUUCGAUGUUUUGAAGUCUCCACUGCGUGCUGGUGUUUGGCUUCCCAGCUCCACGAGGUCACCUUUCAGGGCUUCCUUGCAUGAGAUAAGACAUGCAGUUUUCUAGAACCUUGGUGUCAGCCUUCACAACGGUAUCACUCUUGCUUGGUUCACAUCUACCAAGCUAGUGCCAUGUAGAUGGUACUCUUACAUUCUGUCACCAUCAGUAUGAGGUGUGGCCUGGCCUCCUUGCACUGUAGACACAGUGGCCUCUGUGAGCUUCCGAGGAGGCUCAGUCUGAGAAAUGCUUGCCUAGGCAGCUGCUUACCAUCAUGAGACCCUUUCAGUGGCAUUCUCAGCUUAAGUUCUCUCCUUUAAAAGGAAUUUAUGUCUUCAAAAGCUUUCAUGGGUAUGGUCUUGCCCCCCAGGGUACCUUUCUUAUGGCCCAGCUUGGAUGUAAUCUCUUUACCAGUUAUAGCUGCUCUCAUAGCUUGUCUGCAUCUUAAAGCUCACUGUUCCUGUUUUAUUUCUGUUGCUAUGAGACAAAAAUAACUUGGAGAAGAAGAGGAGAUGCAGUCCAUUAUGGCUGGGACAAUGUGGUAGCGGAUGGGUGAGAAUGUCAGCCAUAUUGGAUCUGCACUCAGGAAAUAAGAAGUGAUGAAUGUUGGGACUCUGCCCACCAUGGUCUCUUUCUCCAGUCUGGGAACCCACCCCAUUGGAUGGUGCACCCACACUUAGAGUGGGACUUCACUACCCAGUUAAAACUUUCUGGAAAUGCCCCCCAGAGAUGACAUAUCUAGAGCUUUAUUUCUUAGAUGGUUCUAAUUACAGUCAAAUUGACAAUAAAGGUUAUCUACCACAACAUGGUAAUAAGUUAUAAAGUUACUGGCAUACAUUACUCUUUCUCAGUGGCUGAUGAUAAUCAUGUAGCAGCUUGGAAGACCACAGUCAUUUGUUUCUGGGGAA